GCAGGGUUAGUGUAACGGGAGCACGUUACUUCAAUUAAGGAGCCGUUCGACUCGGCACCCUGCCCCC
This 67-nucleotide transfer RNA is filed under the name Desulfurellales bacterium. Its description in RNAcentral is "tRNA-Sec". Lineage: Bacteria; Pseudomonadati; Campylobacterota; Desulfurellia; Desulfurellales. The record is from RNAcentral.